Molecule: ribosomal RNA, 253 nt
Filed under: uncultured bacterium
Lineage: Bacteria
Description: partial 16S ribosomal RNA
Rfam family: Bacterial small subunit ribosomal RNA
Source: RNAcentral
UACAGAGGUCUCAAGCGUUGUUCGGAUUCAUUGGGCGUAAAGGGUGCGUAGGCGGCGCGGUAAGUCGGGUGUGAAAUCUCGGGGCUUAACUCCGAAACUGCAUUCGAUACUGAAAGGCUUGAAUCCGGGAGAGGGAUGUGGAAUUCCAGGUGUAGCGGUGGAAUGCGCAGAUAUCGGGAAGAACACCGAUGGCGAAGGCAGACCUCUGGGCCGACACUGACGCUGAGGCGCGAAAGCUAGGGGAGCGAACAGG